RNAcentral lists this long non-coding RNA (795 nucleotides) under Linum usitatissimum (flax). RNAcentral describes it as "long non-coding RNA (LUSI_LNC007738)". The record is from RNAcentral. Lineage: Eukaryota; Viridiplantae; Streptophyta; Magnoliopsida; Malpighiales; Linaceae.
AUUGGGAACAGCAGGUACCUACCUCUUUCCAACCUUGUUCAUAUCUUUAUCUUUUCAAAACUGGUGAAUUAUUGUUUCCCAUUGCAGGCAACCAAAGCAAGGGCGAGGAUCUUUCAGGGAGAAGAGACACGGGGUCCUUGAUUUGCAGAGUUAAUAAUUUGUUGAAAGAAAGCAAACUCCUUCUGGUUUUUGGUUUUGAAGACACAGCUUGCUUUUCUCUCUCACUCUAGUGUGUGUUCUUCAAUCCACCAUGAUACAUUCUUCUUAUCCUAAGGCUUUUAAAUUUUGUAGUCUAAGCUUCUCUCUACUCUAACUAAUUACGUAUAUAAAGACUUGUAAGCCUUCAGAAAUUGAUGAGAUGUGCUCCCAGAAUUGAUUUGGAAAAUAAGACAGAAGGGUGAAGAGGAAUAAGAACUGUGUGGGUUGGGUUUGAAGAUAUAGAUAGAGUAGGUCGGUAAAUCAAGCAAAGUUGAAUCUGAGCAAGCAGAAAGCACUCACAUUUGUCAAAUGAAUAUGGGCAGUGGUAGCUGAUAAGGAAAGUGGGGAAGGAUCUGAUACUACUACUGCUGCUACUAAAUAAAGGACAACGAACAGCGCGGAAAGAGUGAGCACUGAGCACUCAACUCAGCACUGAACCUGGACAAUUAGGAGGAGGGACUACACAUUUUCAUGGGUAGAUAGCACUUCUAACUUUUUAACAAAUCAGUACUGUACGUUUUAAAAGUAACUGCGGUGGUUUUUGUUUGACUGAGAAAAAUCGGACUAAUGAUAUAUACCAUACUUAAAUUAUCGGAC